UCGGAUAUGGUGUAAUGGCUAACAUUGCCGCCUCUCAUUGAUCCUGCUUCCCGCGGCAGCUCGGGGUUCGAUUCCCCGUAUCCGAA
Non-coding RNA from Termitomyces sp. T159_Od127, 86 nucleotides. NCBI's taxonomy places the organism in Eukaryota, Fungi, Basidiomycota, Agaricomycetes, Agaricales, Lyophyllaceae. The record is from the annotation of a GenBank genome assembly.